Molecule: transfer RNA, 73 nt
Filed under: Fasciola gigantica
Lineage: Eukaryota; Metazoa; Platyhelminthes; Trematoda; Plagiorchiida; Fasciolidae
Description: tRNA-Ile
Source: RNAcentral
CCCGCGAUAGCUCAGCUGGUACAGCAUCUGCUCGAUAUGCAGAGGGUCGCCGAAUCGAUUCCGGCUCGCGGUG